RNAcentral lists this ribosomal RNA (1372 nucleotides) under uncultured bacterium. Its description in RNAcentral is "bacterial SSU rRNA". It matches the Rfam family "Bacterial small subunit ribosomal RNA", at positions 28 to 1381 of the family's 1533-position model. The record is from RNAcentral.
GAUGAACGCUGGCGGCGUGCCUAAUACAUGCAAGUCGAGCGAACGGACGAGAAGCUUGCUUCUCUGAUGUUAGCGGCGGACGGGUGAGUAACACGUGGAUAACCUACCUAUAAGACUGGGAUAACUUCGGGAAACCGUAGCUAAUACCGGAUAAUAUUUUGAACCGCAUGGUUCAAAAGUGAAAGACGGUCUUGCUGUCACUUAUAGAUGGAUCCGCGCUGCAUUAGCUAGUUGGUAAGGUAACGGCUUACCAAGGCAACGAUGCAUAGCCGACCUGAGAGGGUGAUCGGCCACACUGGAACUGAGACACGGUCCAGACUCCUACGGGAGGCAGCAGUAGGGAAUCUUCCGCAAUGGGCGAAAGCCUGACGGAGCAACGCCGCGUGAGUGAUGAAGGUCUUCGGAUCGUAAAACUCUGUUAUUAGGGAAGAACAUAUGUGUAAGUAACUGUGCACAUCUUGAUGGUACCUAAUCAGAAAGCCACGGCUAACUACGUGCCAGCAGCCGCGGUAAUACGUAGGUGGCAAGCGUUAUCCGGAAUUAUUGGGCGUAAAGCGCGCGUAGGCGGUUUUUUAAGUCUGAUGUGAAAGCCCACGGCUCAACCGUGGAGGGUCAUUGGAAACUGGAAAACUUGAGUGCAGAAGAGGAAAGUGGAAUUCCAUGUGUAGCGGUGAAAUGCGCAGAGAUAUGGAGGAACACCAGUGGCGAAGGCGACUUUCUGGUCUGUAACUGACGCUGAUGUGCGAAAGCGUGGGGAUCAAACAGGAUUAGAUACCCUGGUAGUCCACGCCGUAAACGAUGAGUGCUAAGUGUUAGGGGGUUUCCGCCCCUUAGUGCUGCAGCUAACGCAUUAAGCACUCCGCCUGGGGAGUACGACCGCAAGGUUGAAACUCAAAGGAAUUGACGGGGACCCGCACAAGCGGUGGAGCAUGUGGUUUAAUUCGAAGCAACGCGAAGAACCUUACCAAAUCUUGACAUCCUUUGACAACUCUAGAGAUAGAGCUUUCCCCUUCGGGGGACAAAGUGACAGGUGGUGCAUGGUUGUCGUCAGCUCGUGUCGUGAGAUGUUGGGUUAAGUCCCGCAACGAGCGCAACCCUUAAGCUUAGUUGCCAUCAUUAAGUUGGGCACUCUAAGUUGACUGCCGGUGACAAACCGGAGGAAGGUGGGGAUGACGUCAAAUCAUCAUGCCCCUUAUGAUUUGGGCUACACACGUGCUACAAUGGACAAUACAAAGGGCAGCGAAACCGUGAGGUCAAGCAAAUCCCAUAAAGUUGUUCUCAGUUCGGAUUGUAGUCUGCAACUCGACUACAUGAAGCUGGAAUCGCUAGUAAUCGUAGAUCAGCAUGCUACGGUGAAUACGUUCCCGGGUCU